GAUGAACGCUGGCGGCGUGCCUAACACAUGCAAGUCGAACGGGGAUUCAGAUGAAAUUGUACUUGUACUAUGGAAUCUAAAUUCUAGUGGCGGACGGGUGAGUAACACGUGAGCAACCUGCCUUGGUCAGGGGGAUAACAACGGGAAACCGUUGCUAAUACCGCAUAAUAUGCCGAUGGGGCCUCCCAUUGGCAUCAAAGGAGUAAUCCGGAUUGAGAUGGGCUCGCGUCCGAUUAGUUAGUUGGUGAGGUAAUGGCUCACCAAGACCGCGAUCGGUAGCCGGACUGAGAGGUUGACCGGCCACAUUGGGACUGAGACACGGCCCAGACUCCUACGGGAGGCAGCAGUGGGGAAUAUUGGGCAAUGGGGGCAACCCUGACCCAGCGACGCCGCGUGAAGGAUGAAGGCCUUCGGGUUGUAAACUUCUUUGAUCGGGGACGAUAAUGACGGUACCCGAGGAACAAGCCACGGCUAACUACGUGCCAGCAGCCGCGGUAAUACGUAGGUGGCAAGCGUUAUCCGGAU
Molecule: ribosomal RNA, 525 nt
Filed under: uncultured bacterium
Lineage: Bacteria
Description: bacterial SSU rRNA
Rfam family: Bacterial small subunit ribosomal RNA
Source: RNAcentral